RNAcentral lists this ribosomal RNA (434 nucleotides) under uncultured bacterium. Its description in RNAcentral is "bacterial SSU rRNA". It matches the Rfam family "Bacterial small subunit ribosomal RNA", at positions 29 to 507 of the family's 1533-position model. The record is from RNAcentral.
AACGAACGCUGGCGGCAUGCCUAACACAUGCAAGUCGAACGAGACCUUCGGGUCUAGUGGCGCACGGGUGCGUAACGCGUGGGAAUCUGCCCUUGGGUUCGGAAUAACUCAGAGAAAUUUGAGCUAAUACCGGAUGAUGACGAAAGUCCAAAGAUUUAUCGCCCAGGGAUGAGCCCGCGUAAGAUUAGCUUGUUGGUGGGGUAAUGGCCUACCAAGGCGACGAUCUUUAGCUGGUCUGAGAGGAUGAUCAGCCACACUGGGACUGAGACACGGCCCAGACUCCUACGGGAGGCAGCAGUGGGGAAUAUUGGACAAUGGGCGCAAGCCUGAUCCAGCAAUGCCGCGUGAGUGAUGAAGGCCUUAGGGUUGUAAAGCUCUUUUACCAGGGAUGAUAAUGACAGUACCUGGAGAAUAAGACUCCGGCUAACUCCGUG